Molecule: long non-coding RNA, 854 nt
Organism: Oryzias latipes (Japanese medaka)
Lineage: Eukaryota; Metazoa; Chordata; Actinopteri; Beloniformes; Adrianichthyidae
Source: RefSeq, a predicted model, not a curated record
ACAUGAUCAGGGGUGCCCAAACUCUCUUCCCACUGUAAGUAUCAUAAAGUUCAGGAGUAGAAUAGUGUGAGCAUCAAAUCAGUUCUGAGCCACAGCCAGAGCUGCUGCAAUGUGGCCUAAAUUAUAAUCAUUCAAAGCAUUUUUCAUGGGCUCAAAGUUAUUUUUUGUGUGUAAGUUUAUGAAACAGCAGGGUCUGGUACACACAUCUGUUUAGUCAUUCUGUCCUAAAAGUGUCGAUUUAGAACCGAAAAAUGUCACUUUUCACCGUUUAUCGCUAGAGGGAAACUUUAGCGUCCACUUUCCAGUCGGUGUCGUUUUUAUUUAUUUACUUUUUAUUUCUGUUCAACAAUAAACUCGUCCCUUAUUCUCCUGAGUACCAGCAAUGUAAAUUUGUACGUUUUAGAAAAGAAAGAAAAGAAGUAAAACUUCAAGAUUUAAAGUUGUACAUUUAUAAGAUUAACGUGGAAGUGAGCAUAAAGAGAACGCCAUGCAGCAGCAGACAGACUAAACUCAGUUGAACAGGUGAGCUGAAUGUUUAUUGAUAACAUUAUAAAUGUUUGGAAGCUCCUUUGUUUGAUUUAUGAAUGUUUUAUUUAUUGAUGGACUGUUUGCAGGAUCUCUGCAGCUCAUUGAUGAAGACAUCGGUCUCCCUGCAGAUGUUUACUUCAAUCCUUUCUUCCUCCACCAAAGACCAGAUCUCUACGUCUGUGUGAUGCUUCUGUCUGAGGAUGAGGAGCACUUUCUGGAGGGGGCGUAUGUAACGGUUUACACAUUGAUGUUCGGAUGACAGGUUCAUGACGUAAUGAGACAAAUGGAUCUCUGGGAAAUUAAAGUAGCGGUCCUCUUCACCCAAA